ACGUAGGGGGCGAGCGUUAUUCGGAAUUACUGGGUGUAAAGGGUAUGUAGGCGGCCCUUCAAGUCGCGUGUCAAAGUCCAGUGCUCAACGCUGGGUGUGCACGCGAUACUGACGGGCUUGAGGGCUGGAGAGGUGAGCGGAAUUCCCGGUGUAGCGGUAAAAUGCGUAGAUAUCGGGAGGAACACCAGGGGCGAGGGCGGCGCACUGGACAUUAGCUGACGCUGAGCUGCGAAAGCGUGUGGAGCAAACAG
Molecule: ribosomal RNA, 251 nt
Filed under: uncultured prokaryote
Description: partial 16S rRNA
Rfam family: Bacterial small subunit ribosomal RNA
Source: RNAcentral